Molecule: long non-coding RNA, 906 nt
Filed under: Numida meleagris (helmeted guineafowl)
Lineage: Eukaryota; Metazoa; Chordata; Aves; Galliformes; Numididae
Description: lncRNA (ENSNMEG00000009005.1)
Source: RNAcentral
AAAAAUUGUUAGUUAGAUGAAGAUGAUGCUAUGGAUAAGCACAAUAAUUUUGAGGUUGGUGAGGAAUAGGUAAAGAGAAAAUAGUGUAUUGUUUUGACUGAUCAGAGAUGCCAAUUCCAAUUUCCUAUGGCAAAAUUUUGAAAUUAUUUCAGUAUUUCCAUUGAAAAACAGUUUCGAGGAAGGUGAAUCCUUUUCUGUUUCCUAAGUCAUACCUCCCCUAGUCAGCAGGGGUUGCUACCGUGAUGGAGUCAUCCAAGACUCAGAGGAAUAAUAUAAAUCAAUUUAUUGAGAGCUUUCUUAAACAAAACUAAUACUCAGAGAUAAAAUUGGCUAAAUUGCUAAUUAAGAUUAAUAAGCAUUACAGAUACGACAAUUCUAGUCAACGGCUACCACAGAGAGUGAAAAAGAAGAUAAAGAGAAUGCAUAAGAAUGCAUUAUGUCUCUGGAAAACUGUGGAGAACAAUUGCCUUUCAAAUUAUAUUCACUGGAGUUUAUUCUUUUCUAAUUUUACUUCUUUUCAAUUGUACUUUCUGCAUUCAUUAUGAUCUGAGUGCAUGUGAAGCUAUGGACUGAAACCUGGACUUUUCUCUUUGAAGAUUAUUUGACCCAGUAUGAAGAAUGAGAAACCUGAAGCCUCCUGUUUUGCUGGAAAACUCCCUCUGAUGGCUCAGAUGGAAAAUUCACAUAAAGUUUCAGCAGAGGCAGAAGUAAACACUGAGACUGAAAAACAUUUUCUGUGGACUGUUUUAAAGACUCAGGAGAAUAAUGGAAUAAUUGUUGACUGAGAAACUCCCAUGUUGAUCUCUCCUGGAAACUUAGUACAGAUGAAUGGCUUCAAUCCCAUGCUGGAAACGAAUUGAGUUUGAAACAAACUUCAAAUAAAGGAAAUUACAAGUCUUAGAGCCA